This 450-nucleotide ribosomal RNA is filed under the name uncultured Glomeromycotina. Its description in RNAcentral is "SSU rRNA". It matches the Rfam family "Eukaryotic small subunit ribosomal RNA", at positions 569 to 1020 of the family's 1831-position model. Lineage: Eukaryota; Fungi; Glomeromycota. The record is from RNAcentral.
AGCAGCCGCGGUAAUUCCAGCUCCAAUAGCGUAUAUUAAAGUUGUUGCAGUUAAAAAAGCUCGUAGUCGAAUUUCGGGGUCAGUAGAUUGGUCGUGCCACUGGUAUGUACUGGUCUUACUGGCUCCUCCUUCCUGAUGAACCGUAAUGCCAUUAAUUUGGUGUUGCGGGGAAACUGGACUGUUACUUUGAAAAAAUUAGAGUGUUUAAAGCAGGCUAACGCUUGAAUACAUUAGCAUGGAAUAAUGAAAUAGGACGUUCGAUCUUAUUUUGUUGGUUUUCUAGGAUUGACGUAAUGAUUAAUUAGGGAUAGUUGGGGGCAUUAGUAUCCAAUUGUCAGAGGUGAAAUUCUUGGAUUUAUUGAAGACUAACUACUGCGAAAGCAUUUGCCAAGGAUGUUUUCAUUAAUCAAGAACGAAAGUUAGGGGAUCGAAGACGAUCAGAUACCGUCG